UCCUCCUUAGCUCAGUUGGUUAGAGCAUCUGACUGUUAAUCAGAGGGUCUUAGGUUCAAGUCCUAAAGGGGGAGCCU
RNAcentral lists this transfer RNA (77 nucleotides) under Sphingobacteriales bacterium. RNAcentral describes it as "tRNA-Asn". It matches the Rfam family "tRNA". From Rfam's summary of the family: Transfer RNA (tRNA) molecules are approximately 80 nucleotides in length. Their secondary structure includes four short double-helical elements and three loops (D, anti-codon, and T loops). The record is from RNAcentral. Lineage: Bacteria; Pseudomonadati; Bacteroidota; Sphingobacteriia; Sphingobacteriales.